AACUGAUAAUUUUGACUGUAUGAGAGACAAAUCAUAAGGGGAUGUCCAUGGAGUAUUGCUGCUAACUCUCUGAGAGAUAAAAGGCUUUGUGAAGACUUCACGAGCUGUCCCUCCAGGCUGAAGAGCUCAUCUCCUGCUUUCUUUUGCCCUCCUCAGCCUCAUUCCUAUUCCUUCCCUUCUGUAAAGAUGAAGAUGAAUGUUCAUUAAGUUUUGAUAGAAAUCAUGUGAAAUUGCAUCUGAAUCUUCAGAUCUUCAGAUGAAGUUCAGGGUUUUCAGCCAUGUGUCCUGUGAUCAAGCAGCAGGCUCCACAGGAAAUAGGAG
Molecule: non-coding RNA, 321 nt
Organism: Lonchura striata (white-rumped munia)
Lineage: Eukaryota; Metazoa; Chordata; Aves; Passeriformes; Estrildidae
Source: RefSeq, a predicted model, not a curated record